UACGGGGGGGGGCAAGCGUUGUCCGGAAUUAUUGGGCGUAAAGGGCUCGUAGGCGGUCUGUCGCGUCGGGAGUGAAAACUCAGGGCUUAACCCUGAGCCUGCUUCCGAUACGGGCAGACUAGAGGUAUGCAGGGGAGAACGGAAUUCCUGGUGUAGCGGUGGAAUGCGCAGAUAUCAGGAGGAACACCGGUGGCGAAGGCGGGUUCUCUGGGCAUUACCUGACGCUGGAGGAGCGAAAGCGUGGGGAGCGAACAG
This 255-nucleotide ribosomal RNA is filed under the name uncultured bacterium. Its description in RNAcentral is "partial 16S ribosomal RNA". It matches the Rfam family "Bacterial small subunit ribosomal RNA", at positions 524 to 775 of the family's 1533-position model. The record is from RNAcentral.